RNAcentral lists this ribosomal RNA (496 nucleotides) under uncultured bacterium. RNAcentral's name for it is "partial 16S ribosomal RNA". It matches the Rfam family "Bacterial small subunit ribosomal RNA", at positions 30 to 523 of the family's 1533-position model. The record is from RNAcentral.
AUUGAACGCUGGCGGAAUGCUUUACACAUGCAAGUCGAACGGUAGAGGGGGCAACCCCUCGAGAGUGGCGAACGGGUGAGUAAUAUAUCGGAACGUGCCCAGUCGUGGGGGAUAACGUAGCGAAAGUUACGCUAAUACCGCAUACGAUCUAAGGAUGAAAGCGGGGGAUCGCAAGACCUCGCGCGAUUGGAGCGGCCGAUAUCAGAUUAGGUAGUUGGUGGGGUAAAGGCUCACCAAGCCAACGAUCUGUAGCUGGUCUGAGAGGACGACCAGCCACACUGGAACUGAGACACGGUCCAGACUCCUACGGGAGGCAGCAGUGGGGAAUUUUGGACAAUGGGCGAAAGCCUGAUCCAGCCAUUCCGCGUGCAGGAUGAAGGCCCUCGGGUUAUAAACUGCUUUUGUACAGAACGAAAAGGUUUCUACUAAUACUAGGAGCUCAUGACGGUACUGUAAGAAUAAGCACCGGCUAACUACGUGCCAGCAGCCGCCGCCG